GACGAACGCUGGCGGCGUGCUUAACACAUGCAAGUCGAACGGAAAGGCCCUGCUUUUGUGGGGUGCUCGAGUGGCGAACGGGUGAGUAACACUUGAGUAACCUGCCCUUGACUUUGGGAUAACUUCAGGAAACUGGGGCUAAUACCGGAUAGGAGCUCCUGCUGCAUGGUGGGGGUUGGAAAGUUUCGGCGGUUGGGGAUGGACUCGCGGCUUAUCAGCUUGUUGGUGGGGUAGUGGCUUACCAAGGCUUUGACGGGUAGCCGUCCUGCGAGGGUGACCGGACAAAUUGGAACGGAGAUACGGCCCAGACUCCUACGGGAGGCAGCAGUGGAGAAUAUUGCACAAUGGGCGGAAGCCUGACGCAGCAACGCCGCGUGCGGGAUGACGGCCUUCGGGUUGUAAACCGCUUUCGCCUGUGACGAAGCGUGAGUGACGGUAAUGGGUAAAGAAGCACCGGCUAACUACGUG
RNAcentral lists this ribosomal RNA (468 nucleotides) under uncultured bacterium. Its description in RNAcentral is "partial 16S ribosomal RNA". It matches the Rfam family "Bacterial small subunit ribosomal RNA", at positions 28 to 507 of the family's 1533-position model. The record is from RNAcentral.